GAUCCUGGCUCAGAUUGAACGCUGGCGGCAGGCCUAACACAUGCAAGUCGAACGGUAACAGGGAUCAGCUUGCUGAUUCGCUGACGAGUGGCGGACGGGUGAGUAAUGUCUGGGAAACUGCCUGAUGGAGGGGGAUAACUACUGGAAACGGUAGCUAAUACCGCAUAACGUCGCAAGACCAAAGAGGGGGGACCUUCGGGCCGUCUUGCCACUCGGAUGUGCCCACGAUGGGAGUUAG
Molecule: ribosomal RNA, 238 nt
Filed under: uncultured bacterium
Lineage: Bacteria
Description: partial 16S ribosomal RNA
Rfam family: Bacterial small subunit ribosomal RNA
Source: RNAcentral